AUUGAACGCUGGCGGCAGGCCUAACACAUGCAAGUCGAGCGGAUGAAGGGAGCUUGCUCCUGGAUUCAGCGGCGGACGGGUGAGUAAUGCCUAGGAAUCUGCCUGGUAGUGGGGGAUAACGUCCGGAAACGGGCGCUAAUACCGCAUACGUCCUGAGGGAGAAAGUGGGGGAUCUUCGGACCUCACGCUAUCAGAUGAGCCUAGGUCGGAUUAGCUAGUUGGUGGGGUAAAGGCCUACCAAGGCGACUAUCCGUAACUGGUCUGAGAGGAUGAUCAGUCACACUGGAACUGAGACACGGUCCAGACUCCUACGGGAGGCAGCAGUGGGGAAUAUUGGACAAUGGGCGAAAGCCUGAUCCAGCCAUGCCGCGUGUGUGAAGAAGGUCUUCGGAUUGUAAGGCACUUUAAGUUGGGAGGAAGGGCAGUAAGUUAAUACCUUGCUGUUUUGACGUUACCAACAGAAUAAGCACCGGCUAACUUCGUG
This 484-nucleotide ribosomal RNA is filed under the name uncultured bacterium. Its description in RNAcentral is "partial 16S ribosomal RNA". It matches the Rfam family "Bacterial small subunit ribosomal RNA", at positions 30 to 507 of the family's 1533-position model. The record is from RNAcentral.